RNAcentral lists this ribosomal RNA (250 nucleotides) under uncultured bacterium. RNAcentral's name for it is "partial 16S ribosomal RNA". It matches the Rfam family "Bacterial small subunit ribosomal RNA", at positions 524 to 773 of the family's 1533-position model. The record is from RNAcentral.
UACGGAUGGAGCAAGCGUUGUUCGGAAUCACUGGGCAUAAAGCGCAUGUAGGCGGCUCUGAAAGUAGGGUGUGAAAUCCCCUGGCCCACCCAGGGAACUGCAUUCUAAACUUCAGGGCUUGAGUGAAGAAGGGGAGAGAGGAACUCCUGGUGGAGCGGUAAAAUGCGUAGAUAUCAGGAGGAACGCCGGUGGAGAAGUCGUCUCUCUGGUCUUUUACUGACGCUGAGAUGCGAAAGCUAGGGGAGCAAAC